GAUGAACGCUGGCGGCGUGCCUAAUACAUGCGAGUCGAGCGAACAGAUAAGGAGCUUGCUCCUUUGACGUUAGCGGCGGACGGGUGAGUAACACGUGGGUAACCUACCUAUAAGACUGGGAUAACUUCGGGAAACCGGAGCUAAUACCGGAUAACAUUUGGAACCGCAUGGUUCUAAAGUGAAAGAUGGUUUUGCUAUCACUUAUAGAUGGACCCGCGCCGUAUUAGCUAGUUGGUAAGGUAACGGCUUACCAAGGCGACGAUACGUAGCCGACCUGAGAGGGUGAUCGGCCACACUGGAACUGAGACACGGUCCAGACUCCUACGGGAGGCAGCAGUAGGGAAUCUUCCGCAAUAGGCGAAAGCCUGACGGAGCAACGCCGCGUGAGUGAUGAAGGGUUUCGGCUCGUAAAACUCUGUUAUUAGGGAAGAACAAAUGUGUAAGUAACUGUGCACGUCUUGACGGUACCUAAUCAGAAAGCCACGGCUAACUACGUG
RNAcentral lists this ribosomal RNA (497 nucleotides) under uncultured bacterium. RNAcentral describes it as "partial 16S ribosomal RNA". It matches the Rfam family "Bacterial small subunit ribosomal RNA", at positions 28 to 507 of the family's 1533-position model. The record is from RNAcentral.